RNA transcript from Coffea eugenioides, 3119 nucleotides. It is a transcript of the gene named chloroplastic group IIA intron splicing facilitator CRS1, chloroplastic, with no coding region annotated. The transcript is spliced from 9 exons. The record is from RefSeq and is a predicted model, not a curated record. Lineage: Eukaryota; Viridiplantae; Streptophyta; Magnoliopsida; Gentianales; Rubiaceae.
GCUACUCAGCGGCAGAGCUCUCUGCCUCUCUUCAAAGUAAAGUUGAUCAAAUAUCGCGACGACAGACUACUAUAUCAUCAUCCUUCCAACUAGAAAUCUGUCAUGUCUCACACAUUGUUUUUCCCUCGAUUAUCAAAUACCUUCCAUUUUUCUUGUAAUUCCGGCCAGAUUGGUAAACCAAUAUUAUCUUCUCAUCCACCAACAGCUAAUUUAACUCCCCCUUCCACACAAUUCUCCACCAUCAAUGACGAAAACAACAUCAGGAGCAGCAGUGGCAUUGAACCCAAAAAUGAGGAAUUAUCCUUAUCAUCAUCAAAGCCUUCUACUUCAAAACCAUGUUCAGUUAUCAAAGCCCCAACUGCUCCAUGGAUGCAGGGUCCUCUUCUUGUUGAACCCAAUCAAUUCUUAAACCUCUCUGAUAGACCAAGAAGCAAAAAAGGCUCAAACUUUGGCAGAAUUGAAGACCACCACCCUGAUCAGGCUCUGACUGGUAAAAUGGGUGCUGGGAGAGGCAAGAAAGAAAUGAAGAAGAUUUUUAAAGGCAUUAAGAAACUUCAGGACAGCAAAAGUUUAGAAAAAACCCACAAAAAACCAGAAAUGGUAAAGUUCAUAUUCUCACCUGGAGAGCUCUCGAGAGGUGGGGACUCUACAUCUGUUGAGGGAUUUAUAUCCGAGAGGGAAGAUGAAAAGAUGCACGCUCAGAAGAUUGUGGAAGAAUCUGAGGUUGGUUUUCAACUGGGAAAGGUUGAAGGUGAAGGGAAGGCAAAAUUUGGCGGCAAAAUGCCAUGGGAUAGGGGUGAGAAGUUGGUGACUUGGAAGGUGAAGAAGGAGAAGGUAGUGACUGCUGCUGAGUUGAGCCUUGAUGAGGAAUUGCUCGAUAGGUUGAGGGAUGAGGCUUCAAGGAUGAGGAAAUGGGUGAAGGUUAUGAAAGCUGGAGUGACUCAAGAGGUUGUUCAUCGAGUUCAUGCUAUUUGGAAGAACAAUGAACUUGCAAUGCUCAAGUUUGAUCUUCCCUUGUGUCGAAACAUGGACCGAGCACAAGAAAUUCUUGAGAUGAAAACUGGAGGAGUUGUAGUGUGGAGAAAGCAACAUGCUCUUGUCAUUUACAGAGGGGGCAAUUAUUUGUCAGCUUUGAAAACCUCCUUUGAUAACUGUUGUCGAGACACGAUUAUUGCCUCUGAAGUUAACUCUAGUGAACAUGGUCUGGUUGGAAUGAUGAGCGAAAUGGAUAAGAAAGAGGAGAAUGUACUGAUGAAUGGGUCACUUUAUGAGAAGGAAGCUGAUAGAUUGUUGGAUGGCUUAGGACCUCGCUUUCUUGACUGGUGGUGGAGAAAGCCUUUGCCAGUAGAUGGUGAUUUGCUUCCUGAAGUGGUACCUGGAUUUAUGCCUCCAUUUAGGCUCUGCCCUCCCCAUGCUAGAUCACAGCUGACAGAUGAUGAACUUACGUACUUAAGGAAGCUUGCUCGCCCAUUGCCAACUCAUUUUGUACUGGGAAGGAAUAGAAAACUUCAUGGCUUGGCUGCAGCAAUUUUGAAACUUUGGGAGAAAUGUCAUAUUGCAAAAAUUGCUAUCAAGUGGGGAGUUCCAAACACAGACAAUAAGCAAAUGGCCUAUGAGCUUAAGUGUCUCAGUGGAGGAAUUCUGUUAUUACGCAAUAAGUUUCUUAUAAUCCUUUAUAGAGGGAAGGACUUUCUUCCUUCUCGAGUUGCAGAAGUAGUAACAAUAAGAGAAAUGGAGCUCACAGAAUGUCAACUUAUGGAAGAAAGUGCACGGCUAAGAGCAAGUGAAACUGUUACUCAGAUACCAUCAAGCAAGUCUGCUAACAGUGGAACUUUAUCAGAAUUCCUCAGAAUUCAAUCAAAACAUUUGGGCCUUGGACAUGGAAACAGCAAGGCGGAAGUUGAACUGGAAGCUGAGAAGGAACAACUAGAAAGGGAACUGAGAGAUCAGCAGCGCAAGCUUUUUCUUCUCAAGAAGAAGAUAGAGAAAUCAGCCAAAAGAUUAGCAGAUCUAAAUUCAUUGCGGAGACCUGCAGAACAAGAUACAGAUCAGGAAAUGCUGACACAAGAGGAGAGAGAGUGUCUCCGAAAAAUGGGGUUAAAAAUGGUCAGCAGCUUAGUUCUUGGAAGGCGUGGGGUUUUCAAUGGUGUAAUAGAGAGCCUGCAUCAGUACUGGAAGCACAGAGAAAUAGUAAAGGUGAUUACAAUGCAGAAAAUGUUCUCCCAAGUGGUUUAUACUGCCAAAUUUCUUGAGGCUGAAAGUGGAGGGAUACUGGUCUCUGUUGACAAGCUUAAAGAAGGACAUUCCAUCAUUCUGUAUCGUGGAAAAAAUUACAGACGCCCAAAGUUGGCACCUUUAAAUCUUCCAAGUAGGAGAGAAGCAUUGUCCAGGUCCCUGGAGAUUCAGAGAAUUGGUUCUCUGAAGUUCUUUGCACGUCGAAGAGAGCAGGCGGUAUCUGAUUUGCAAUUCAAGCUGGCAAAGUUAAUGCAGAGGAAAAUUGAUUUGAUGGGAAUAUCUGAAACUGGAAAGGAUGAGACUGCAGCGCCACAAGAAAAUAUAUCAGUUUUACCUUCUCUGCUAAGAUCUCAUGUUUUAUGAGGUUUGGUUUCUGGAAAUAUUGGAUUGCUGCUUCUUUGAGUCGAAGCUGUCAGAAUAUGUACAGAUGGUUUUCAAUUUUUCUUCCAGCAAGGGCUUUCAAUGCUGAGGCAAAUUAUGAGGAUUUUUUGGUGACUUGCUGUACGUUGAGACUAAAAUCUUAUUUUGUCAAAAAUAUUCUUCAUGUAGCUCUUCCGGUUCUGUGCAUUUACAAAGUACAAGAAUUGCAUACGCUAAAAGCUCAAAAAUGUUAAACUAAUGGAAGGACCACAAAGAAAAGUGUCGUAGUUAUUAGUUGCAGCCAAGAUUUGUUAGGGUUUUGUAGGAUUCAUUGAUUGUUAAUAGUAGUUCAUUUGCUUCAGAUGCUGGAAAAAAUCUUUACAUUUUUAGUUUUUAAUUAUUAAUUUUACAGCUUAUUAACUUCCAUAUACUCAAUUACUACGCUAAAGAAGCAUAAGAGGGUACUUUAGAUUACAUUUGCAUUGCCAGCAAUACCUCUUAAAACUAAAACCUGUUUCACUUAU